AGACAUAAAAGCAGAAUUAAGAGCUGACCAUGAAGGUCACACACACAUUCAUUCAUUACAAUAAUUCAUGCCAAAGAAAUCAGUCAGUAAAAGCAUCCCAGCUAACAGGGAACAUUCUCAGAACUUUGACAAAUGUUCUGGCAAGGUUCUCUCAAAGUUACAAGCAAACAUUCUUUCAGAAACGUUAAUAGAAUGUUUGUUUAAAGUUAUCUGGUCUUUAAGAAUGUUCUCAAAGUGUUAGCACAAAAACAUUAUUUAUACUUUGUUCAUGGAAGAUUAUUUUUCUGAAACGUUUUAGUGGGAUGUUCAUCUAACGUUUUUACAUGUUACUAUUUGUUUCAGAAUGUUAAAAGAACAUUCAAACGUAGCGUUCCAUAAUGUUUGGAGAAUGAUAAAAUGGAAUGUCUCCUUAAUGUUCACAUAACCGCGAAAAAACGUUUUUAAAACAUUUUAAAAAUGGACAUUCAGAAAUGUUUUCAUAAUCUCUGUUUUUAGAACCUAUUUUUGUUAGCUGGGAUCCUCCCAAAACACACUCUUAAUGUCAAAAAUGCAACCAUUACAGAAUAUACACUGCCGUUCAAAAAUUUGGGAUCGGUAAGAUUUUUUAAUGUUUUUAAAAGAAGUCUCUUCUACUCACUAAGGCUGCAUUUAUUUGAUCCAAAAUACAGCAAAAACAGCAAUAUUGUGAAAUAUCAUUACGAUUUAAAUACUUUGAAUGUUGCGAUCCUGUCGGACUUAUGAUAGCUACCUGAAUCGUAACAAAGCACUGUUGGCCAGAGGAGAACUGGCCCCCUGACUAAGCCUGGUUUCUCCCAAGGUUUUUUUCUCCAUUUUAACACCAAUUUGCCACUUGUCUGCCACCUGAUGUCACCUGAUGGAGUUUGGGUUCCUUGCCGCUGUCGCCUCUGGCUUGCUUAGUUGGGGACACUUGACAUUUGACUUGACAUUUGAUAUUCAACAGUGCUUUGAUCUGCCUGCAUUGACACUAUUCUUUAAGAGCUGCUGUGCAGCCAAAUAAUGUACCAGUUAUCAAUGUAAAGCUGCUUUGACACAAUCUACAUUGUAAAAAGCGCUAUAUAAAUAAAGGUGACUUGACUUGA
Long non-coding RNA from Ctenopharyngodon idella (grass carp), 1100 nucleotides. RefSeq lists it as uncharacterized. NCBI's taxonomy places the organism in Eukaryota, Metazoa, Chordata, Actinopteri, Cypriniformes, Xenocyprididae. The transcript is spliced from 2 exons. The record is from RefSeq and is a predicted model, not a curated record.